AAACAAGAAGCAUCUUCCUGCGCCAUGAUUUCGGCUCACGGAGAGACUUCCCGUCCUUGUUUU
Molecule: transfer RNA, 63 nt
Filed under: Acanthobdella peledina
Lineage: Eukaryota; Metazoa; Annelida; Clitellata; Acanthobdellida
Description: tRNA-Arg
Source: RNAcentral